AUAAUAUCAUACAGAAGGCAAAAAUUAAAGGCAACUUCAACAAGUUAAUGCCACAAAUAUAAAAGUAAUAAAAUUAUCAUUUGUAAAACAUAUAAAAAGAAAAAUAAAAAUCCAUCCACCAUAUACUCCUCCCUUUAUCUCCUCAUACUCAAAACCAUCUCCCCAUUUUUUGCUAAAAAAUGCAAAGGCAUUAAAUCCCACGAGCAAGCAAAUCGGUCUUCUAGCGGAGAGUACGAGUCCUCUAUUGAUUAAGGGGCUUCAAUUGAAUCUCAUAAUAUCGUAUGUUCUUGUCCAAACAGGCUAACUCUUCAUCAAGGUGUUCUGUAAGUCUAGCUUGAUUUGUGCUAGAUAUGCCACCAGAUGUUGCUUUAGUUACAAAUGGGGCAACAAUACAAGAUCUACAUCUUCAUUAGUAUCAUCUCCUAAAUCAGUGUUAAUAGCAGAAUGUUUACCCCUUUUCCACUUUUGAGAAUACUUCAAUUCACCCACUUGAGGCUCAAGAACCUCAUCCUUCUCUACUAUAUCUUUCUUUCGCUUAAGGAGGUUUUGGUCAAUGAGUG
Molecule: long non-coding RNA, 560 nt
Filed under: Gossypium barbadense (sea-island cotton)
Lineage: Eukaryota; Viridiplantae; Streptophyta; Magnoliopsida; Malvales; Malvaceae
Description: long non-coding RNA (GBAR_LNC002879)
Source: RNAcentral